GGGCAUGCCCAACAACUGCUAAGGAGGUGGUGAAACGGGAACAACUUUAAAACCAAAGGCCAGGCUUUCUUUUUGGCCUCUGCCGCUUCACCUACUGCGCCGCGAUCAGCCCACUUGUUCCCUGCAAGGGAUCUCUGUCCCGGCCGAGACAGAAAAACCCGCCGGUGCUCCCGGGCCAGGUACCCGUUCCGGGCGGGAACACGCCCUGUGACAGCGCGCCCGGCCCUCGCCUUGGGUAACCUCGAUUCCGGGGCGGCAGCGGCCAGAGUCCGCAGCGCACGCGGCCGGGGCGGACCCGAGCCCGCCCGCCCAGUGCACGCCGGUCCCGCCGCCGGGCGCCCGCCGCCUCCUCAGCGGCGGCUCCGCUCGCGACCGCGCCGUCCCGCCUGGUGGCCCCUCGGCCACUCGCCCGCACAUGCUCGUGGCCACCAGGAGAGCUCGCAGGCUCUUCCACAGCCUCUUCCUGGCCCCGAGAAUGGGCGACACCACCUCUAAGAUCGUCAGCCCCCAGGAGGCCUUGCCGGGCCGGAAGGAGGCGAUCCUCGUAGCGGCCAAACAUCAUGUCAGUGGCAACAGAACAGUUGAACCUUUCCCAGAGGGAACACAGAUGGCUGUAUUUGGAAUGGGUUGUUUCUGGGGAGCCGAAAGGAAAUUCUGGACCCUGAAAGGAGUGUAUUCCACUCAAGUUGGCUUUGCAGGAGGCUACACUCCCAAUCCUACUUAUAAAGAAGUCUGCUCAGGAAAAACCGGCCAUGCAGAAGUAGUCCGAGUGGUGUACCAGCCAGAACGCAUCAGCUUUGAGGAACUGCUCAAGGUCUUCUGGGAGAAUCAUGACCCGACCCAAGGCAUGCGCCAAGGCAAUGACUACGGCUCUCAGUACCGCUCAGCCAUCUACCCAACCUCUGCGGACCACAUGGAGGCGGCCCUGAGGUCCAAAGAGGACUACCAGAAGCUCUUUCCAUCCCGGCACAUUGUAUUCAGUUUAUGUGGAAGUCUCCGGUUCCAUCCGCAGUUGGCCUACAGAGCCAAGUGGCUUGCUCAAGAGAUGCCACACUGAACAGCCAGCUGUGGUGAAGAAGGCGUGGGUCAGGACAGUUGCUAACUGAGCAUUCAGGCUGGCUCAGCAACUGAGCGAAGCCAGCGGAUUCCAGGCUUUGCGGUGAAAUGCCAUGUCUGUCUGCCUUCCCAACAGGCUCGAGGCAGAGCUAAAAUCGGAUGUAAUUAGUUUACAUGUCAGACCCAACAAUCCAUGCUGUACGUCAUGCAGGCGUGAUCAGUGUUUUCAAGGUGGUAUGAAACCUCAUAAUGAGCCAACGAAUAGUAUUAUUACAGUUGAAUAAACUGAAGCAUGAUUUAUGAUGAUUAAAAUUUAUUUGUAGCAUAUGUUUUUCUUUUUCUUUUUUUUCUCCCAAAGUGGAAUGUGUGCUUCUGUAGCACCAUCCAUUUGCAAAUUGCAUUCCCAAACCACUUUUUAAUUGUCUACUAAUCAGUUCGUGGGAGAGCUUAGUGAUGGUAGGUGACCCAGUUCUCCUUAUUCAACGAAUGUUAAUAUAACGCUUUGUUCCUUGGAGGGAGUGGGGGCUGGUCCCCGGUGGCCUUCACAUACAAGCCAACAGAUUUCUGCUGCAAAAAUUUUAAUAUUGUUUCUAAACAGUUUACGUGAAUUUGAAGACUUCACCAGCAAAUGAACAACAAAAGACAGAGAUUUUAAAAUAGUGUCCUAUAAAUAACUAGUUUUAUGUAUUCAGCCAAAUGAGAUAAUCUACAAUUUAUGGCCCUGCCAUCUCAGACCCCAUUCGGACAUAUGUGGGUGUCAAUAAUGAAUGAAUAAAUUAAGCCAUCCUCAGUCGUGCUGAGUGUCUCUCUAGGAGACAUCUCUUGUGGCUCUGUUGGUCACUCAAAGGUCUUUGAGGAAGAUGGAACGCUCUAUAGUCCCAAAUGGCAGCAUCAUGCCUAGAACUGACAUGUGAUCAUUAUCUCUAAGCCUCGGGAUUGGAGCUUCUCCCUCUUGGUAAGGAAGUAGCAUCUAUCACCUAAGAGAUACCGGCUUUGGAGUGAGAAGACCUGGGUUCUCCUCCUGUCCCUUAUACCAGGAGCUGUGUGACCAAGGCAGAUGCCUUUGUCUCUCUGGUCGUCCUUCACCACAUCUGUACCAAUAUGUCUCAGCAGCUGUCACCUCUAAUGUUGGUCUAGAGAGUGGUGACUGGUUCCCUCCACUCUCAGGCAUGCAACACCAGCCUUACCCAAUGGCCUUAAGAGGAGGCGUUUAUGUUGCAUAAAAUGAGAAUCAAAAAUUGUUAAGCAGCUGGAUGAGCUAACUGCAGUGAUUUUGAGGGGAUCUAGAACUUGAAACCUCAGGUUUCCAAGUCAGUGACAGCUCAGUUGACCAAAUAGUUCUCCAUUCUUGUGUGAGGUCGUAGAUUUUGAAGACCUCAGGUCUGCUCUUGGACCUGAGAAUGACUGCCAUGGCUAAGUUUCCUAUUCCUUAGUGCAUCGGUUAUCUAUCGCUGCCCAACAGACCACCUCAGAACUUGGUAGUGUAAAUCAAAGAUGAUUUUCUGUUUCUCAUGAUUCUGUGGGUUGUCUGGAUCAUUCUGUUGAUUUCAGCCUGGACUCAUUCAUGUGACUACGUUUAGUUGGUGGGUCACCUGGCGACUGGGCUCAGUUGGGGAGCUGGAUCUCUUUCUCUUCACGUGGUCUUUCCUCCUCAAGGAGGUUAGCCCGGGUUGGGCUGUCUCACAAGGUGGCGGCAGAAUGCUGAGCCCCGACGUACAGGUGCUUAUCAAGCCUCUGCUUAUUUUGCUGAUGUUCCAUUGGCUAAAGCAAGUCACGUGUUCAAGCCCAAAGUUGAUGUGUAAGGGGACUGCACAAGAUUGUGUCUCUCAGCAGGCAUGAUUCCUGGCUAUUAGUGUAACAGUCUACCACCCACCCCCUUAGCCACAGUCUUCUGGUCAGUAAGAUGGGAUUGGGUUACUAAGAAUGCAUAGAGGGCCAGCCUGAGAGUCAAGAGAUGUGCUUUUGUGUCCAGUCUAUUUCUAACUAGAAAUAGACAUUUUCCCCAGGAGUAAAGGGAGAGUCUUGGACCAAGUGAUCCAAGGGUCCACCUGUCAACACACAUACACACACACACACACACACUCCCUUUUCCAUCACCCAUACAAUUUGGAAAUCAGAUGUGCUUGGAAGUAUCUUGAAAGUGGUACAGAGCUAUGCAAAUGUAACUUACUAUUACAAAUAAUAUUCAUAAUGAAUUCUAGUAAAUAUAUUUUCAAGAAAACUUGUGAUGAGAUUGUAAAUGUAUCUGUUAAAAUAUAGCAUAAUUAAAAGAAGCACUUUCUUCAAGGUUCCAUUUCUUUUCUGGUGUUUUAAAUUCACUCUAACGAAGUUUGGCAAAUCGGGGUGUGUUUGCAUGAAGUUAAACCUGAUCGGAGGGGACUAAAACCUCAAAUCUGCCAUUUCGUUGCAGCCUUUGUUCAAAAUGGAGGCGUUUUAGCGAAUUCAUGUUUUUAUUUAACCAUUUGACAGCCUGCUCUGAUACAGUCGUAAUUCAGCCAUCCUCUCCUGUCUUCCUCAUGUUUUGUUUAUUUACUUGGUUUGUUGUGUCAUAUUUGUGUCUAGGUGUGUGUGUUAGGGCAGCUCAAGCAUCACCUCUUGCUCAGUGUUUUAAAUUUGCAAAGUCCCCUAAGGGUAGUAGGGCGUCCCUGGACCCCUUACUUCUUCUACGGUGGGCAGAGACUGAGUGACUUUGGGUCCUUGCCUCAGUAAGUGUAGACUCAUGCCUACCCAUUCCUUUGCUCACUCUCUGAAAACUAGUCCUGGAAAGAUGGGACUAAAGAUUCAGAAUCAGCUCUUGCCUCUUUAUGGACGACUUUACACUCAGCAUAAACUUUAUACUGCUUCUCCUGGCUUAAAAUGUCAUUCCUAAUAUAGUUGCUGAUUCCCUGCUCUCCUUAGCCCAAACUCCCUUCCCUUCUGCUGACCCUCCACCUCAACACACAUCCACUGCACUCCAGUCCUGCACAGUCACAUGCUGUGGUGGAAAUCAAUGAAGACCACCGAAUGGGAGCGAGGAAUGGCUCUUCAUUCAGACCUUACUAUAACAAAGGAGUCAGCCACUGUCACUUGCGUUUGGCAGAGACUCAGAGGCAAGCAGGAGAGGGAAAGCUGCCUAGUGGAAAGAAGGGAAGGCUUCCAGUGUGCCCUGACUGGAGGCUGUGGGCAUGGGGAAGUUGCAGGGGGGCUAACUAGAAGUGGGAUAUCCUAUGCGAUUGGGUAGGGGUGCAUAUUUGGCUUUCUGUGGUUGGUCCUUAGUUGGAAGUAGGGGCAUACACUAGGGAAACUGGCAGUUAUUAGCUGAGUCCUGGCUGUUUGGGGCCAAUUGCUACAGGGGUUAUUGUUUGGCUUCCGGGGCUGGUGACUGUGGACAGUAGGUCGGCUUCCUGGGCUGGGUGCUCCAGAUCAGAGUUCUCUUUUUAUAGAUAGUCUGGUCAUUGUCCACCUGUAUAUUCAGUCUCUCACCAUUCCCCCAACUCAAGGUGCUAGUCUGCUGCUACUUGUUCUCUUUCCUCACACAUUCCUUUCCUGACUCCAUAAUUCUGGCGUAAGCCCCCCUCCAAUGUGUUUUCAUAGCACCUGCAUUUUUAUCGUAACACUUAUCCUCAUUUAUUAUAAUCGUUACUAGUUUGUUUCCUUUUUCAGUCCAGAAACUCCUUUAGGGCAGGGAGUCUGUCUUGUUCACCAUUGUAUCUCCAGUCCCUAGCACAGUGUCUCGUAGCCAGUCAGCUUAUAGUAAAUAUAAAUGUUAAUUACAUAUAGUUAUAAAAAUAUCAUUAUAUAAUGACUGAUGAAUAUCAAAUACAGCCCAAUUUGUCUCCUACUUUCCACCUUCCAGUCCACUUUUCCUGCGGCUUUAUGGAUAUUUUUAACUGGAUACCCCACUUGCAUCUCACAAUUAAUAUGUCUACAACCAAACUUUUGGUCUUUUUCCCAAGCUAAUUCCUCCUUGAGACACUGGAGGCUGUGGGCAUGGGGAAGUUGUAGGGGGCGCUAACUAAACACUCCCAUUUUUUAAAGUCCCACUGUUCUACCAAACACUUUCCUUGUCCCCCACAGCCAUGGGGUCCCCAGUACAUCUCCUUCAUCUUUGUCUUUUCCAUUUCUGUUCACUCCUAUUUCAACCCUUAUUCUGUUGCCUCAGCCUCCCACCUGGUCACUGGGUUCUAGUCUCAUCCUGUCUAAUCCAUCCUCCACAUUGUUCCAAACUUCCACUUUGGUUUUGCUUCUUUUUUGCUCUUCUGUGGCCUCACACAUCAGAGCCUGGCAUUCAGAGCUCUGUACAAUAGGAUCUGAAAUGAUUACGCCCACCAUAGUGCUCACUCCUCCUUGACACACACUUGACUGUCUGAUCAGAUUGUCCUAAUUCUCAUUUCUAGGACUUGCCUUUCCCUUCCCUCCUGUCUGCUGCCUUUACCAUCACUCCAGCCUAAAUGAAUGACUAGUCACUCCCCUGCAUCAUCCCAGUGGCAGUGAUAUAUGCUGCCCUGUGUUGCAGUUAGCAAAGCAGAUCCUUCUCUCUCUUACUGGACUAAGCUCAUUGAAACACCCACCCUAGCUAUCUUUGGUUUUUUAUAGAAUAAGCACAUAAAUAUUUGUUGAACGCAUGAAUGAAUGAUGCAGCUGGUCUGUGCGUCGAGAACAACCCUCAUAUAAAAUGGGUUCAUCUUUAGAUUGACUUGGGGUUGAUUAAUUCAAACCUGCAAUUGAGAGUUUGCUUGUAAAUCGUGGGAUCAUAUAGACAGAGUAUCAGAGUAAUUAUGUGUCUGAACUAUCGGCAUUUACUUAGUCCUUCCUUUUGUCGUGCUACUAAAUUACUGUGUAUUUGAGGAAGGGCUAGGGCCCUCUCCCCAGGGGAUCUCUUUUUGAGGUCUGUACCAGCAGCAUGGCCAAAUGCCUGUUUCCCAACUUAUAUCCAGAGAUAAUUGGCUUCUCUUUAGUAGCAGUUCAGUUCACAGUACUGAGGCAUCUAAAAUAUUGAUUUCCUUCCUCCUUAACACUUUGCACUCAUAUAUUGUACUGGAAAGAGGGAUAGUUUGGCAGAAUUGGGACUAACAGGUAGCUGGGCUCUGGGAGGUAUUCGAGGAGAGAAGGCUUGCUGAAGAAGAGGCACGCAUAACGAGUCUCAGAGACCAGCCUGGUGGAAAAGAAGGAAAUGCUGCUCUGUGGCUUGCACUAUCCGAAAAACUUGCCAACUUGGUAUUUUGGUUUGUGAAUUUCUGCAUCUGAUGAAGAGAAUGCCAGCACCAUGUAAGAUGCCAGCCUAAGAAAGUGGAAUAAAAAGAAGGCCUACAUACAUCGGAAACUAAUAGGGUAUUGUUAUGUCAGGUCUAUUUCAAUUAAAAAAAAGAACGCCUACAAAAUCUGAAUAAUCAUAUGCAAUUCAUCUAUUAGUUUUAAAACACGAUUAGAUAAAGCAAAUUAUGCAUGAUAAUCAUAAAUUAAAACAAUCACAAAUAAAACAGAAUACAUUCAUUGUUUAAGUUGCUGAAAUUUAUAUUUAGAGAUUCCUUUGGUAGCACCAACAUUUACAGUGCCAGCAGAUUCACCUUUGUUGUCAUGAGUUGCAAGGCAGCUCUUUCAAAUGGCUUUAAUAACAUGCACAAUGCAUGCUUCGCAUACAGCGUUUCUCUGAUCUGCUACGUUCUUCUCCAUUCUCCUUGGUUUCAUCAUGAUAUACAUUUAUACAUACUAUUCCCUCAGAAUAUCUUUAGCCCUUCAUUUUUUUUCAUUCUUCAAGAUUGAAUUAAAAGCCCAACUCUUCUGUGACGCCGCCCUUAACUCCCUUUGUCAUUGCGUUCUCCUCUGCAACCAUUUGGCAUCCUGCCCAUUUGCUAACAUUUGCACGUUUGCAUUCGUGACCUUGGUAAUGAGCCUUGAGCAUGUGUCUCUGAGUCCUCUAAGUCCUCGAAGAUAUGAGGCCUUGCCUUCGUUGGUUUUGUAAACUCCCUCCACACCAUGCCCAGCACAAGGCUGACACUUAUUGGAAAUCAGUAAAUAUUUAUUCAAUGAAAUUGGACUGGUACAGGACUGGGACUCUGACAGCUUAGUUCUUAGAGAACUGCUGUCUCCCCAUUGCUGUUCAUUUGGCCCUCAAGUCCCAUCACCCUUAAUGUCUCUAACAGGUCACUCUUGAGUUCUCUGUGUGAGGCCCGUGAAUGCUAAAAUGUCAGAGCUAAGGGGGCCAAGGGGCCUUUUCAUAUAAUGCCCUUGUCUUCGUUCCUUCAGGCUGCUGUAACAAAAUAUCACAGACUGGGUAGCUUUUAAACAAUAGAACUUUAUUUCUCACAGCU
Molecule: RNA transcript, 7346 nt
Organism: Equus caballus (horse)
Lineage: Eukaryota; Metazoa; Chordata; Mammalia; Perissodactyla; Equidae
Gene: MSRA
Gene name: methionine sulfoxide reductase A
Source: RefSeq, a predicted model, not a curated record